Molecule: transfer RNA, 70 nt
Filed under: Ictidomys tridecemlineatus (thirteen-lined ground squirrel)
Lineage: Eukaryota; Metazoa; Chordata; Mammalia; Rodentia; Sciuridae
Description: Spermophilus tridecemlineatus (thirteen-lined ground squirrel) tRNA
Rfam family: tRNA
About the family: Transfer RNA (tRNA) molecules are approximately 80 nucleotides in length. Their secondary structure includes four short double-helical elements and three loops (D, anti-codon, and T loops). Further hydrogen bonds mediate the characteristic L-shaped molecular structure. tRNAs have two regions of fundamental functional importance: the anti-codon, which is responsible for specific mRNA codon recognition, and the 3' end, to which the tRNAs corresponding amino acid is attached (by aminoacyl-tRNA synthetases). tRNAs cope with the degeneracy of the genetic code in two manners: having more than one tRNA (with a specific anti-codon) for a particular amino acid; and 'wobble' base-pairing, i.e. permitting non-standard base-pairing at the 3rd anti-codon position.
Source: Rfam by way of RNAcentral
GGAGUUGUGGCUCAGUGGUGAGAGCACUCGCCUUGCAUGUGUGAAGCCUUGGGUUCAAUCCUAAACACCA